GCCUACACCACAGCACAGCAACACCAGAUCCGAGCUGCAUCUGAGACCUACACCACAGCUCACAGCAACGCCAGAUCCUUAACCCACCAAGCAAGGACAGGGAUCAAAACCGCAACCUCAUGUUGCUAGUUGGAUUCAUUUCCGAUACACCAAGAUGGGGACUCCAUAAGCUCAUUUUUAAAUGAAUCACCAUUAGCCCUAAAUUUCUUACUGAAAAUAUGGAAAGACAAAGACUUACAGUUCUAAACCUUGAUAAAUCUAUGAAAGUGAUGACCACAUAAAUUAACCUACAAAUGUCAAAAAGCAACCAUUAAUUCAAUAAUUUAUCCAACAACUACACUAUGUGCCCAGCAUUUUAUGUCAGGCAGCCAAAAUAACAUAAAUAAUAUCUAUCCUCAAGAAAAGCACAAAUAUGACAGGAGAAUCACAUGAGUGAAUAACCAAACAUGAUUGGCAAGGCAAACAAAAUCUUACAGGCAAACAGAAGAUGACUGAAAUUGGAAGUCAUGUUCGCAGACUGAGACGACAAGUGAUCUGGUUGCAUAGGAAUGUGGAGUAAGAUGUGGGGGCUGAGAGGGUGUUAAGCCCAAACUGUCAGAGAAAGGCAUGAUGAGCAGAGGAUACAGCAUGAGCAAAGGUAGAGAAGAAUACACAUAUACAAAAGUGAGAGAUAAAAACUUAAAUAACAUUACAUUACUUUGAGAUGGAUAUCCUUUUUUAUAAAACAUUCUUACAAAAUAAUUUUAACCAAAGAUUAUUUUCUUAGACACCUAAAAUUCUAGGACUAGCCUAACAUUUAUGAAGUAGUCCUAGGGAAAUAACUCAAUAUGCUGUUAUCUAAAAUAAACAGAACAGAGAGUUCCCAUCGUGGCAAUAGCAGGUAAAUGAAUCCAAUUAGGAACCAUGAGGUUACCGGUUUGAUCCCUGGCCUCGCUCAGCGGGUCAAGUAUCCAGCAUUGCAGUGAGCUAUGGUGUAGUCGCAGAUGUGGCUCAGAUCUGGUGGUGCUGUGGCCGUGGCGUAGGCCGGCCGCUACAGCUCCCACUUGACCCCUAGUCUGGGAACUUCCAUACACUGCAGGUGCAGCCCUAAAAAGACAAAAGAAAAGAGAAGAGAAAAGAAAAGAAAUUUAAUCUUACAUCAUUUCCUUUAAUAUUUAAGCUCAAGUCAAAACCACACAAGCAACAGCUUCAAAUCCUUACCUUUCAUUGCUACCAUUUUCAUGAGCCUCACAUCAGUUAUUCUAAAACUCCUAAAUUUAAAUUCUUUCAUAGCUAUAAAUUUGGCUUCUCAAAAGGAACCAUAAAUUUCCUUAAGAGCAAAAACCAUAAUUUAAUACCUUUGAAGGUCCCAACAUAAAUCUAGAAACAUAGAAGAUACCCAAUUAAAUAUUUAUUGACUAACUGUUUACUGAGAUUGGAAUUUUUACGUUUUUAAAGAACAUGCUACCUUAAAACAUACUUAAUAUUACAUAGUUUUGCAGCUUUUCAUUCUAAGAAAACCUUGAUAAGAAACUUGAUAAGAAAACCAGAAAAUGGCUGGGAAUUACUAUUCUGAGAAAUUCUAAUCUGCCUGCCAUCAUAACCCAGUAUUAGGUUUGGUUACAAUUUUUGCCCUACUGAGACAAUUUUAUUAGUCCACCAGCUAACUCACAGUAACCACAUAAGAAACACUGCGAGUAAUGUUUACAACUCUGACUUCACACGUUAAGCCAAAACUCUAAAUAAAAUAAUGCAACCCUGAAGUUUAGAUGUUCGAUCCCUGGCCUUGCUCAGUGGGUUACGGAUCUGGUGUUGCCAUGAGCUGUGGUAUAGGUUGCAGAUGUGGCUCGGAACCCGAGUUGCUGUGGCUGUGGUGUAGGCCGGUGGCUACAGCUCCAAUUCAACCCCUAGACUGGGAACCUCCAUAUGCCAUGGGAGCAGCCCAAGAAAUGGUAAAAAGACCAAAAAAAAAAAAAUGCACUUAAGCAAUUUCAAUAAAUGAUCACUUUAAAAACAUGGGUAGGGAAGUUCCCAUUGCAGCUCAGUAGGUUAAGAACCCAACUAGGAUCCAUGAGAAUGUGCUGAUCCCUGGCCUGACUCAGUGGGUUUAAAGGAUCCGGCAUUGCCUUGAGCUGUGGUAUAAGCCUCAGACACAGCUCGGAUCUGGCAUUGCUGUGGCUAUGGCACAGGACAGCAGAUGCAGCUCCGAUUAGACCCCUAGCCUAGGAACUUCCAUAAGCCUUGGGUGUGGCCCUAAAAAGACCAAAACAAACAAACAAUAACAGGUAGGGAAAAAACACAUGAUAAGCUUGGCAGUAAAAGCAACUAUUCUUUCAAUAACUGAAUGAUUUAUUUACUAUUGUAAAGGUGAUUAUGUUUAGAACACUGGACAGUAAGUAGUCUAUGAAUACUUGAGGAUUUAAAAUACUUGACUACUUAAAAAAGGAACAGUUUGAGGUAAACACUUGUUAAGAAUAUGUGUGAAAUAAUACACAGUACCAUAAAUUUGAAAAGUAUGAAACUGAGGUAUUUCCCAGUUUUGAUUAUAUAUACCUUGCUUUCGGAAAUAAAAUCUCUUUCUGGAAACUGUCUAU
This 2573-nucleotide long non-coding RNA is filed under the name Sus scrofa (pig). RNAcentral's name for it is "lncRNA (ENSSSCG00050011911.1)". Lineage: Eukaryota; Metazoa; Chordata; Mammalia; Artiodactyla; Suidae. The record is from RNAcentral.